This 328-nucleotide ribosomal RNA is filed under the name uncultured eukaryote. RNAcentral's name for it is "partial 18S ribosomal RNA". It matches the Rfam family "Eukaryotic small subunit ribosomal RNA", at positions 1470 to 1796 of the family's 1831-position model. The record is from RNAcentral.
CCCUUAGAUGUCCUGGGCCGCACGCGCGUUACACUGAUGCAUUCAACGAGCUUAUAACCUUGGCCGAGAGGCCUGGGCAAUCUUGUUAACGUGCAUCGUGAUAGGGAUAGAUUAUUGAAAUUAUUAAUUUUGAACGAGGAAUUCCUAGUAAACGCAGAUCAUCAAUCUGCAUUGAUUACGUCCCUGCCCUUUGUACACACCGCCCGUCGCACCUACCGAUUGGAUGGUCCGGUGAAGCCUCGGGAUUGUGGUUCUUGCCGCUUUAUUGUGGCGUGACCGCGAGAACUUGUCUAAACCUUAUCAUCUAGAGGAAGGUGAAGUCGUAACA